This 1381-nucleotide long non-coding RNA is filed under the name Sander lucioperca (pikeperch). RNAcentral's name for it is "lncRNA (ENSSLUG00000009665.1)". The record is from RNAcentral. Lineage: Eukaryota; Metazoa; Chordata; Actinopteri; Perciformes; Percidae.
CACAAUUAAGGCUUUGACUCAGCACAGGUGAGCCACUCGCGCGCCCUGCUGAGCUGACGGGUCUAGCUCGAGAGCGCACAGGAGGACAGGGGUUCAGUCACUGCUGGCCAAGGCCCCUAGGGUUUCUUCGCGUGUGUUUUUAUAUGCUUAGAUUUUAACUUCAAAAUUAGCUAAAAAAGAAAGGGAAAAAUGUUCUCGGAACUUCUGUGUGAAUUAUGAGCUACGCUGCUGUGGUCCUGUUUUACUAAAAAUGACGUGGCCGGAUGAUUUUGGGAGAUUAAGCGCGGGUUUUCUGACCAUUUUACUUAGCUUUACUUUUCAAGGUGCAUACUGUGGACUGGUGGUUUCUCCUGUUGGUCCUACUCUGGUGAAUGCUAUAUCUGGCAGCAAUGUGACUCUGGCUGUGUCCUUCAGUGGUGCCCCUGACCCAGCGGUUACCUGGUUCAUGAAGGAUUUUAGCCUACCUGUCGUCACAUGGGCUAUUAACUCCAAUACUCUCCCAGACAUAGAGGAGAACAGAAGAAAGGUGCUGAGGAUUGAGCCAAAUGGAUCCCUUACCUUUGUAAAUGUGCCACUUGAGUAUACCAGUAACUACACCAUUGAAAUGACUAAAUCUGGACUGGGAAGAUCCUCGACUACUUUCUCUCUGGAAGUAUUUAGUAGUCCAGUGAAGUUCCUGCCAGCUGUGGGAACCAGAGUUGACUCUGAAGGCAAAAUAGUGGUCGCUAUCCAAUGUGUCAGUGAGGCCUGGCCUAAGGCUGUGGUGUCAUGGUCCAAAGGCAGCGAGGCUCUCACCAACAGGACACCGUACCAGAUCAGCAGUGACACCACACAGCUCGAGAUUCUGGGUUACAAUGUCAGCAAAUUUCUCCUCCAAAACUACUUUUGUAACUGCAGCAACCCACUGGGCAGCCAGAGGAGGGAAAUUCUGUUAACAGGACCGUCAAUCUCAAAUUCCAGUUUGUUCUCUAAUCACAAUAGAACCAUCGUCACAUUGACCUGGGAGGUCCCGCCUACCUCUGUCGUUACAGGGUUUGACAUCCAAAUGAAAGGACCAGACCUCCUGGGAAAAAAUCACACCCAAACUAGCUUAAACCAAUUCUACACCAUCCAGCAUGAACCUGGCACUACCAGGAGUGCAGACAUCUUUAUCCUCGAUCCUAACUUGACGUACACGUUUCGGAUUAUCCCCAAAGCUCUUAUGACAGAAGGAGACCCAUCUGCGGCCCACAGAAUUGGUCCAGGUGAAGGGCUGAGUAGAUCUGCCAUCGCUGGCAUUGCAGCUGGAAUCCCCUGCAGUAUUCUCUUCCUAGUCCUGCUGGGCGGCUUCAUCUACUUCUGUGUCUACUGGAACAAGAACAAAAAAAAGUGGAGGGGAUAA